GGUCAACUGCUUUAUUUUUUUCUGCAAAAAAAAAAUGUAUCAAACCAGCAAUCAUUAAAUGCAUAAUCUCAACUUAUUUGAAUCAUAUAAUAAAAUUACAAAUAUAAAAAUGCGUUAUAUACUGCAAUUUUUCAUUCCAUUCCAUAAUGGAAAGAAAAACAAAACACACCAUGAGUGAUAAAUGAAAAUUAACAAAAAUAUAUUCAAGAAUGGAAUAAACCAUUGAAUUCUUUUUCUGAUUCUAUCAUACCAAACACUAGGGUAAACUAACCUUUAACAUUUUGAGGGGUAAUAGAGCCUCAUAACUGCAAAAAUAAACCAAUAUAUACAAUUAUUAAAUUGGUAACAUAAUGAAAAUGGAAAGGCAAUGCUAUUAAAUCAUAAAACUGAAAAUGACCUGAGAGAAGAGCAGGGAAAAACUAACCUUGUAACUUUCCAUGUCGAAACAAGUUGUGUGACACGAAAUGGCACCCAGAAAUUAGUCGUUUCAUUUCUUAAAAUAGAAAAAAAAAAAAUUGAAGAUUUGAUCGAAUUUAAGACUUGUUAGAUUGAUGCUUGAUAUAUGUCACAUUGCAAAUUUUUUAGUAACAUCAUUAAAAAUGUAAAAAGUAAGAAAGAUAAAAAUUUGUCACGUGUUUGCCAUGUCAGAUGUCACAUUAUUUAAUGGAAUGGAAUGCGAUAGAAAAUUCUUGAAAGGACGUGAUUCCCUCCAUUUUGUUAAUUUUCAUUCACGUGUUCUUUCAUUUGCAUCACAGAAUGGGAUUGGGGUAUUGUUAACUUGUUAAUUAAAUUGAUUCCUUUUGAAAUUUCAGAAAUUUUAAUUGGAUUAUAAUCAAGUUUUCUAAAAUUAAC
This 852-nucleotide long non-coding RNA is filed under the name Lactuca sativa (garden lettuce). RNAcentral's name for it is "long non-coding RNA (LSAT_LNC008769)". The record is from RNAcentral. Lineage: Eukaryota; Viridiplantae; Streptophyta; Magnoliopsida; Asterales; Asteraceae.